This 866-nucleotide ribosomal RNA is filed under the name Lacticaseibacillus rhamnosus. RNAcentral describes it as "bacterial SSU rRNA". It matches the Rfam family "Bacterial small subunit ribosomal RNA", at positions 47 to 902 of the family's 1533-position model. The record is from RNAcentral. Lineage: Bacteria; Bacillati; Bacillota; Bacilli; Lactobacillales; Lactobacillaceae.
CUGAUUAUUGAAAGGUGCUUGCAUCUUGAUUUAAUUUUGAACGAGUGGCGGACGGGUGAGUAACACGUGGGUAACCUGCCCUUAAGUGGGGGAUAACAUUUGGAAACAGAUGCUAAUACCGCAUAAAUCCAAGAACCGCAUGGUUCUUGGCUGAAAGAUGGCGUAAGCUAUCGCUUUUGGAUGGACCCGCGGCGUAUUAGCUAGUUGGUGAGGUAACGGCUCACCAAGGCAAUGAUACGUAGCCGAACUGAGAGGUUGAUCGGCCACAUUGGGACUGAGACACGGCCCAAACUCCUACGGGAGGCAGCAGUAGGGAAUCUUCCACAAUGGACGCAAGUCUGAUGGAGCAACGCCGCGUGAGUGAAGAAGGCUUUCGGGUCGUAAAACUCUGUUGUUGGAGAAGAAUGGUCGGCAGAGUAACUGUUGUCGGCGUGACGGUAUCCAACCAGAAAGCCACGGCUAACUACGUGCCAGCAGCCGCGGUAAUACGUAGGUGGCAAGCGUUAUCCGGAUUUAUUGGGCGUAAAGCGAGCGCAGGCGGUUUUUUAAGUCUGAUGUGAAAGCCCUCGGCUUAACCGAGGAAGUGCAUCGGAAACUGGGAAACUUGAGUGCAGAAGAGGACAGUGGAACUCCAUGUGUAGCGGUGAAAUGCGUAGAUAUAUGGAAGAACACCAGUGGCGAAGGCGGCUGUCUGGUCUGUAACUGACGCUGAGGCUCGAAAGCAUGGGUAGCGAACAGGAUUAGAUACCCUGGUAGUCCAUGCCGUAAACGAUGAAUGCUAGGUGUUGGAGGGUUUCCGCCCUUCAGUGCCGCAGCUAACGCAUUAAGCAUUCCGCCUGGGGAGUACGACCGCAAGGUUGAAACUC